Molecule: long non-coding RNA, 2314 nt
Organism: Papaver somniferum (opium poppy)
Lineage: Eukaryota; Viridiplantae; Streptophyta; Magnoliopsida; Ranunculales; Papaveraceae
Exons: 4
Source: RefSeq, a predicted model, not a curated record
GUUUUAGGCGUGAUAUCCUAGAUUGGAUGUUUUACGGUCCCUUACUUCGUUCUUAUCUUCGCCUCUAGCUAGCUCUAGUAAACACAUCUCUCUCUCCCGGUCUCUGAAAAUAGUUUCAUUCGAUCGAUAGUAUGAAUCCAUGAAUCGAAUAUCUAAUCACAACAAGAUUAAUCAAAUUAUCUUUUCUAAACCCAUAUCUCAUAAACCAAAUUCAUCUUCAGAAACCAAACCCAAUCUUUCAACAAUUUUAAUUUCGUAUUGAACCCUAGAAGUUUGAUUUUCUUCGACAUAAUCCAAGAAAAUCAGUCUCUUUAUUCUCUACACGACAUAUUGCUUACCUGUCCAAGAAGAUGAGUUUAUAAAACCGUAGCUUCUUUUUAUAUGUUGUUGUUAUGAGUCUGAUUUCUUAUAGAUAAUAAAAAAAAAAUCCUAAAAUUCACAAUUUUUAUGCUUCCCCAUUUGAUUCGACGGAUUUAAAAUCAUGGGUUUAGUUCCAAUUUCAGUUUUAUGAUCUGAGUUUUGAGUUAAGCUUUGUAUUUCUGUAAAUCAGGUUAUAUUGUAUUUCUAGGGUUUAUUUUUGUUGUGAUUUUGUAUUGGUUUGUCUUAGUAGUAUUCAAUUAUAUAGAUCUGAGAUUUUUUGGAUUUAUAAUGAGUUUCAUUGUGUUUUUGAUCUUAGAUAUUGAGGACCAUAACAGAGAAUAGAAGGAUUUUCGGGUGAAAAACUUCAGCAACCACAAGAGGAAGUUCAUAGCAUCAUUAAGUAGAAUUUCUGUUUCUUAUUUUCAUAAUUUCUUCUUAAUCUUCUUAAUUGAAGCUCAAAGAGUGUGGGUUACUGUGACUAGCAAUAAAAUAAUUUUUUACAUUGCAUAACAAGUCUCAAUAAGGAUGUCCUCAGUUAGACUGAAUCGACUUUAGAGUGACAGCUGAAUUGGAGAUAAAGAAGUUAACAUACAUAGGGAUAGAUUUUUCAGUGGUGGCACUGACAACUUUUCGUCAUUUUUGUUCAACACAUCUUGAACUGCAGAGCAUUAAGAAUUACGUAAUUCCUGAGGAAUUUGCUGAAGAUGGAGCGCAUACGAUUCUGAUAGCUGCUGCUGAUCCUAUCCCGGAAGAACUUCUUGCGCUAUGUCAUUAGUGUAUGUCGUUUUGAGGAGUAUAAGUUAACUCAUUCGAGCUAAAGAUACAACAAGAUGUGAUUGGGUAUCUGUUUUAUUCUUUUCCUAAAAGUUUCAAAUCUGUUGCAUUUACGGUUCACAAACUAACAACCUUGAAUUUUUUUUCCAAGGUACAAAUUUAUGCUUACCUAGUGCCAUCAUCUUACAGUUGCAGUAGUAACUCUGUUUUUGGACCUUAACUAAUGUCAUGUAUGUGUGUCUGUAAUUGGAACCAUAUUAUGUGAUAAUAUCAUUUGUUACAUCUCAGUUGGGUUACGUUUCAUAUUAUUAACUUUGAUCAUUAAGUUAAGUGUUAACCAAUGUAGGAUAACUCUUUAGGAAGCCAACUAUAAUUUUUUCUCAGUAUAUGUGCUCUUGUUUGUCUGCCAUAGUCCUUCUACACUUUUUCUUUUCCUGGUAUUUGACUCGUAGAUUGUCUUCUUUUCUUCGUAGGAUGGCUCUCUUGCUCAUUGCACUCCCAAUCACCACUGACUUCUGAAAUGUAAUGGAUCCCUUGUAAGUGAUCAUUUCGAAUUUACUUUCUAUAUUUUGCUUGUUGUUGUUGUGAAAUGUGGCGCCUACCGCAACUUCUUUUGGGUUUAGAGGACUGGUUAUUGUUAUUUGGAAAGGCUUGAUGCUUGCUGAGAUAAUAAACUAUUUGGCAGUCACUAUAAUAGUUGUAGCUGAUGAGACAACCAUUAUUUUGCAGUAAUUAAAAUAGUCACUACAAAUCAUGUUAAUCUCCACUGGACUUAUGACUUUCUUUGUGCUUUUCGGGAUCCUAAAAUGUAAUAGCAAGCUCAUUGACCUAUCAUUUUCUGACUUAAAACCAAGUGCAGUAACUUCAUAUUUCAAGUUUUUCAGAUUUCUCUUCUUCAAAGACACCACCCAACAAGGACCGGGACCAUGGAGAAGCAUUCUGGCUUCCUGGAACUUCACUCAUGUUUCCUUAAUAAUUUUCUACGGCGAUUCGUUUUUUAGAUUUAUGUAUGUUUCAUAAAUUAUUUUCAGAUUGGAACUGAUUAAAGUUUGUUAUUGGAAAAUGAAGUCCGCGUGUGUUUAGAGAAUUUGUACAGAUUUAGAACUUUGAGUAAUUGUAGUUUGAUGGGGUUGUACCAUGAAUUUAGUGAAUAUAAGUUUAAUUUAAUUUUGGUUUCUUA